GAAACCUUAUCUUAGAUCGUUCGCAAUCCAGGCGUCGAUCAGUACUUUUUAGUACGAGCGUCCGCUCGGAUGAGGAGAGAGU
The submitters of this non-coding RNA (82 nucleotides) gave its source as unclassified sequences. The record is from Rfam.